Molecule: ribosomal RNA, 323 nt
Filed under: uncultured eukaryote
Lineage: Eukaryota
Description: partial 18S ribosomal RNA
Rfam family: Eukaryotic small subunit ribosomal RNA
Source: RNAcentral
CCCUUAGAUGUUCUGGGCCGCACGCGUGCUACACUGAGUGGAUCAGCGGGUCAGGUUGCGCGAAAGUGUUUCCUAAUCUUUAAAUCCGCUCGUGAUGGGGAUUGACGGUUGCAAUUUUCCGUCAUGAACGAGGAAUACCUUGUAAGCGCGGGUCAUCAUCCCGCGCUGAAUACGUCCCUGCCCUUUGUACACACCGCCCGUCGCUCCUACCGAUUGAAUGAUCCGAUGAAUAUCAUGGAUUGAGGAUGCAAGCAGGUUCGCCUGUCUUCAUCUUCGAGAAGUGAAGUAAAGCUUAUCAUUUAGAGGAAGGAGAAGUCGUAACA